RNAcentral lists this long non-coding RNA (202 nucleotides) under Carica papaya (papaya). RNAcentral's name for it is "long non-coding RNA (CPAP_LNC011476)". The record is from RNAcentral. Lineage: Eukaryota; Viridiplantae; Streptophyta; Magnoliopsida; Brassicales; Caricaceae.
ACGCGCCGCUGCCACCGAUAGAGGAGGCGCUCCUCCCUCAUUUUUCGUGCCAAACAUCUUUUUUCCUCUUUCUUCACCAAAAUUGGCCACUUGGUGCAAAUCUAAUGGUUCUGAAAUUCUAUAAAUUGCCCUCCCCCUUCCCUUCCUCCCCACAGUUCUAUUUCUUUCAUUUUUCACAGGUUUAAAGACAGAGAGAUAAUAA